This 810-nucleotide ribosomal RNA is filed under the name uncultured bacterium. Its description in RNAcentral is "bacterial SSU rRNA". It matches the Rfam family "Bacterial small subunit ribosomal RNA", at positions 8 to 796 of the family's 1533-position model. The record is from RNAcentral.
AGAGUUUGAUCAUGGCUCAGAGCGAACGCUGGCGGCGUGCCUAACACAUGCAAGUCGAACGUGAAAUGGGGCAACCCAAAGUAAAGUGGCGUACGGGUGAGUAACACGUAGGUAAUCUACCAAAAAGUCUGGAAUAACCGGCCGAAAGGCUGGCUAAUACUGGAUAGAGCGACGGGAUCCGUAAACGGGUCUUUCGGGAAAGGGAGGCAGUAAUGCCCUUCGCUUUUUGAUGAGCCUGCGUCUCAUUAGCUAGUUGGUGAGGUAAUGGCUCACCAAGGCAUUGAUGAGUAGCUGGUCUGAGAGGAUGAUCAGCCACACUGGAACUGAAACACGGUCCAGACUCCUACGGGAGGCAGCAGUGGGGAAUCUUGCGCAAUGGACGAAAGUCUGACGCAGCCACGCCGCGUGAGUGAAGAAGGCCUUCGGGUUGUAAAGCUCUGUCGCCCGGGACGAACAUUCUGGGGGUUAAUAGCCUCCAGAACUGACGGUACCGGGAAAGGAAGCACCGGCUAACUCUGUGCCAGCAGCCGCGGUAAUACAGAGGGUGCAAGCGUUGCUCGGAAUCAUUGGGCGUAAAGGGUAGGUAGGUGGUCUCGUUUGUCUGGGGUGAAAGCCCAGGGCUUAACCCCUGGAAGUGCCCCAGAAACGGCGAGACUAGAGUCUUGGAGAGGGUCGUGGAAUUCCCGGUGUAGCGGUGAAAUGCGUAGAGAUCGGGAGGAACACCAGAGGCGAAGGCGGCGACCUGGACAAGUACUGACACUCAACUACGAAAGCGUGGGGAGCAAACAGGAUUAGAUACCCUAGUAGUCC